GUCUAUAGAAUCCUCUACUUUCCUAUGAAUAUCUCUAGUUGCAUUCUAUUCUCAUUUUUUUAACUUAAUGGUAUUUCUUAUUUCUAAAUAAUUAUAGAUUUACCAGAAGUAAAUCUAUAGUAAUAGAAUUGUUCCAAGUACAUUUCACCCAGUUUCCCCCAAUGAUAGUGUCUUAUAUAACUGUCAUACAAUAUCAUAUUGGUAUAAGCCACAAAUUUUAUUCACAUUUCGUUAAUUUUGCCUGCACUCAUUUAUGUACGGGUAUGUAAAAUUCUACAUGCCUUUGUUAUCUGUUUAGAUUUGUGUAACCACUACCAUGGUCAAUAUACACAACUGUUUCCUCACCAUGAGGAUCCCUCAAACUAUCCCUUUAUACUCAUUCCACUUCCAUCUUGAUCCUAAACACUUGGUGGUGACUAAGAUAUUCUCUAUCUAUAUAAUUUCAUCAUUUUUGUCAUUCCCAACAAUAUUAUUUAAAUGGAAUAAUAUGAUAGGUAAGCUUUUUAUUAUAAUUAUUAGUGCAUGCUAAUUGUAUAAUUGAUGAGUCUUACUGUGACAUUUUCAUACAUGUAUAUAUUGUGCUUCUUCCCUCCCAUGCCCUUCCCCUCUUCCCCCAACCCCUGUUUUUCUUCAUCUUUCCUAACAAUCCCUCUUUUACUGCUUUCUGGUCAAUUUUUCUUUUUUCCUUUUUCCUUUUAUAGUUUCUACAUAUGAGAGAAAACAUGCAAUAAUUGUCUUUCUGUGUCUGGCUUAUUUCACUUAACAUGAUGUCUUCUUCCAGUUCCAUACAUUUUCCUGCAAAUGGCAUGAUUUCAUUUUCCUUUAUGGCUGAGUAAUACUCUAUUGUGUACAUAUAC
This 857-nucleotide long non-coding RNA is filed under the name Marmota monax (woodchuck). The record is from RNAcentral. Lineage: Eukaryota; Metazoa; Chordata; Mammalia; Rodentia; Sciuridae.